Long non-coding RNA from Spinacia oleracea (spinach), 1221 nucleotides. RefSeq lists it as uncharacterized. NCBI's taxonomy places the organism in Eukaryota, Viridiplantae, Streptophyta, Magnoliopsida, Caryophyllales, Amaranthaceae. The record is from RefSeq and is a predicted model, not a curated record. The transcript is spliced from 5 exons.
GUAAUAAGCAACCUUUACGAUCUUCAGCUCUUACUUUAGACAACCGCAAUUCUCUGAUCUCAGCUUGUACUUCAGCAAGCUCCCGUUCUUUAUCUCUGACUUCAUUUUCAAGCCGAUUCAGCUCAAUCUUAACCAGAUCCGACCCAUCAAGGACAUUCAACAACUCAUCCGCAUCCAGACUCUUCCCUUCUUUAAACGAUUCCGACGCCACAAGCGCCGCCGGAGUCGGCAAUAAUGUAUAUUUAGGUGGCAUUGUUUCAGGAUUCACUACAACAAUUUAUGGGUUUAGCGGCAUUUGUCUAGCGGCAUAUAUAGUAAAUGCCACUACAUUACACUUUUAGGCGGCAUAUCUAGUGGCAUUUUUUUUAUAUGCCACUAAAAGCCCAAAUUUUUUUAUGCGGUGCAAUAGCAUAUUGGGCGCGCUUAUUUGGGCAAAAUGAAACUGAAUCGCACUUCAGGUUUUUCCAACCCCCAAAAACCCUCAUCUUCAUACUCUCACCUAACUCAAAACUUAGGUCUCAAACCCUCAUCUCCUUUAAACAUUUUCUCUCUUAUCUACAAUUCUAUCUGCUCAAAAUUAAAGAUUCAAUCCUUGGCAUAAUAGUGUUGAAAUUCUUAUUGUCGUUACAAAUUUUUGGAUUAUCUCUCACAAUUGAACAAUUGAGGCGCAGCUUUGAGGCGGUUGCUGCAAUGGUGAUGGCGGCAGCAAGGGUUUAAUUGGUCGGCUGUUAGUAGAUCUUCUUUGAUCUUGAUGGUGAAAGCCGUGCAGACCACUAAAAGAUAAAUAACCCCAUUUAUUGAUCUUUGAGGAUUUGGGAAGGAGACGAUUGUAGAUUAUUUCCCGAAAAAAAAAAAGACAGAGCACUUGAUAAAUAUCAAGAAAAUUCGAAUGAGUCGUGAGCUACAAGUUAUGGCGCAUACUGGUGGAUCAAAAAGCUUUGCUUGUUAUGUUAAUGAGAAGAUUAUUUUAAUCGAGUAGGGCGAAUUCGUCUAUAUUAUUCGUGAGGUUUGAUGCUGGUUUUUGCUGGUUUUUGCUGAUUUCGGAAGCUUGUGAAGUGUACAACAUAGCCUUUGAAAUGAGUUUUUUUGUGUACUUUAUAAGUAGUACGAAGUGUGUAUUAGAAGUUCGACAACAUGCAAAAUGUAAUGAGAAUUUUGUGUACUUUGGAUAAUGUAACUACAACUAUGCAUAUAUAUACAUUAAUUAUUUUGCAACUAUUA